UGGGGAAUUUUGGACAAUGGGCGAAAGCCUGAUCCAGCAAUGCCGCGUGUGUGAAGAAGGCCUUCGGGUUGUAAAGCACUUUUGUCCGGAAAGAAAUCCUCUGGGUUAAUACCUCGGGGGGAUGACGGUACCGGAAGAAUAAGCACCGGCUAACUACGUGCCAGCAGCCGCGGUAAUACGUAGGGUGCAAGCGUUAAUCGGAAUUACUGGGCGUAAAGCGUGCGCAGGCGGUUUUGUAAGACGGAUGUGAAAUCCCCGGGCUUAACCUGGGAACUGCAUUCGUGACUGCAAGGCUAGAGUAUGGCAGAGGGGGGUAGAAUUCCACGUGUAGCAGUGAAAUGCGUAGAGAUGUGGAGGAAUACCGAUGGCGAAGGCAGCCCCCUGGGCCAAUACUGACGCUCAUGCACGAAAGCGUGGGGAGCAAACAGGAUUAGGAUAACCCUGGGUAGUCCACGCCCUAAACGAUGUCAACUAGUUGUUGGGGAUUCAUUUCCUUAGUAACGUGAGCUAACGCGUGAAGUUGACCGCCUGGGGAGUACGGUCGCAAGAUU
Molecule: ribosomal RNA, 551 nt
Filed under: uncultured bacterium
Lineage: Bacteria
Description: partial 16S ribosomal RNA
Rfam family: Bacterial small subunit ribosomal RNA
Source: RNAcentral